Transfer RNA from Ovis aries (sheep), 73 nucleotides. It matches the Rfam family "tRNA". From Rfam's summary of the family: Transfer RNA (tRNA) molecules are approximately 80 nucleotides in length. Their secondary structure includes four short double-helical elements and three loops (D, anti-codon, and T loops). Lineage: Eukaryota; Metazoa; Chordata; Mammalia; Artiodactyla; Bovidae. The record is from Rfam.
UCCCUGGCAGUCCAGUGGUUACGACUCUACACUUUCACAGUCGAAGGCCCAGGUUUGAUUCCUGGUCAGGGAA